RNAcentral lists this small RNA (1154 nucleotides) under uncultured Burkholderia sp. RNAcentral describes it as "bacterial SSU rRNA". The stretch from base 1 to 463 matches the Rfam family "Bacterial small subunit ribosomal RNA", at positions 1064 to 1533 of the family's 1533-position model. Lineage: Bacteria; Pseudomonadati; Pseudomonadota; Betaproteobacteria; Burkholderiales; Burkholderiaceae. The record is from RNAcentral.
GUCGUGAGAUGUUGGGUUAAGUCCCGCAACGAGCGCAACCCUUGUCCCUAGUUGCUACGCAAGGGCACUCUAGGGAGACUGCCGGUGACAAACCGGAGGAAGGUGGGGAUGACGUCAAGUCCUCAUGGCCCUUAUGGGUAGGGCUUCACACGUCAUACAAUGGCCGGUACAGAGGGUUGCCAAGCCGCGAGGCGGAGCCAAUCCCAGAAAGCCGGUCGUAGUCCGGAUUGCAGUCUGCAACUCGACUGCAUGAAGUCGGAAUCGCUAGUAAUCGCGGAUCAGCAUGUCGCGGUGAAUACGUUCCCGGGUCUUGUACACACCGCCCGUCACACCAUGGGAGUGGGGUGCACCAGAAGUAGGUAGGCUAACCGCAAGGAGGCCGCUUACCACGGUACGCUUCAUGACUGGGGUGAAGUCGUAACAAGGUAGCCGUAUCGGAAGGUGCGGCUGGAUCACCUCCUUUCUCGGAAGCAGCAAGCCUCUGUCAGCGUCAAGCUGCCGGACGGCUCGCCAACCUCUUCCAAGUGCCCACGCUUAUCGGUUGUUGCCGCCUCGAAGUCGGGGCGGCGAUGUAAUGCCGGAAACGGGCCUGUAGCUCAGUUGGUUAGAGCACCGUCUUGAUAAGGCGGGGGUCGAUGGUUCGAAUCCAUCCAGACCCACCAACGAUUCGUGACGCUGUGGGGCCGUGAAAGCUGGGGGCGGGUCGCAGCGCUGGGGCUGUAGCUCAGUUGGGAGAGCGCCUGCUUUGCAAGCAGGAGGUCAUCGGUUCGAUCCCGUUCAGCUCCACCAAUAAAGGAAAGAGGCAUCCUGGAAAUCGCGUCAUUCUCAAAGUUCAUAGGCAAGUCGCAUGGCUUACUUCUGAUCUUUGAUCGGACCGAGAAAGUUCGGUUGUUCUUUAACAAAACGGAAGAAGUAAAGCGCACACGACGGAGUAUCGUCGUGUGUUGGGUUAGAUUGUAUCGACCCGUCCCUCUCGAGUUCGGGGGGAACGGGUAUCGCAAACAACCGUGAUGCGAGCGAAGCAGUGCUCAGCGUUAUGGGAUCAAGCGACUAAGUGCAUGUGGUGGAUGCCUUGGCGAUCACAGGCGAUGAAGGACGUGGCAGCCUGCGUUAAGCCCCGGGGAGCUGGCAAACGAGCUUUGAUCCGGGGAUGU